GACGAACGCUGGUGGCGUGCUUAACACAUGCAAGUCGAACGGUGAAGCCCAGCUUGCUGGGUGGAUCAGUGGCGAACGGGUGAGUAACACGUGAGCAACCUGCCCUCCACUUCGGGAUAAGCCUUGGAAACGAGGUCUAAUACCGGAUACGAGCACUUACCGCAUGGUGGGUGUUGGAAAGUUUUUCGGUGGGGGAUGGGCUCGCGGCCUAUCAGCUUGUUGGUGGGGUAAUGGGCCUACCAAGGCGUCGACGGGUAGCCGGCCUGAGAGGGCGACCGGCCACACUGGGACUGAGACACGGCCCAGACUCCUACGGGUGGCAG
Molecule: ribosomal RNA, 323 nt
Filed under: uncultured Actinomycetes bacterium
Lineage: Bacteria; Bacillati; Actinomycetota; Actinomycetes
Description: bacterial SSU rRNA
Rfam family: Bacterial small subunit ribosomal RNA
Source: RNAcentral